UGCUGAACCAUUCAGAGUGCAUGAACUGCCCAAAGCGCAACAGCACGCAUUUCCGGGUUGUCAGUGACAUGGUAUACUUUUGACACAUGUGUUUUGCUUUGGUUUCUGUUCUGUCACUGCCCUUGUUAUGUUAUUGGUUGUCUCCCUCAUGUGUCAUCAUUAUUCACAGCUGUUUAUGUUUUACCUUUGAUUAUGUUAAUUAUUUAAACCCCUCAUAUGUCUUUGUUGGGCAAAGUGUUGCAUAUUUCUUUGUUUUGCUGCCAGACCCGGACUAACCCUGUUGAUCCUCGAUUCUUGAUUUUUGAUCCUGUUUUCAUCCUCCUAUUUAUUGAUUCUGCUUUCGCCUAGUCCAGUGGUUCCCGUACUUUUUACAGUGGCAUACCCUCCCAGGCAUUUAAUAUCCUUUUGCAUACCCCCUCUCUCAAACUGUGUUGUCUGACGAUGGUAUCCUCUGUAUUGUUUUUUAUUUUUGGCCUUUUCCCCAACCAUUACACCAGCUAUAUCAGUCGCAGCAGAAAUAAUUAAGUCCUCCACAAUAGUAUGGGGUUUGCCUGUCUUAGCCACUCUGUAACUCACCAUGUAGGAUGCUUCCAGACCCUUCCUAUGUAGGUUUUCCUACAAUGUUAUAAGGGCCUUACUACUCCUGAGUUGUCUUAAAUGUCUUUAAAAAAAAACUCUCGAGGUUUAUUUAGCAAAAAGUAAGUAGCAUUCUUUGUUUCUAAAUGUCUGUGCAGAAAUGCUGGUUUCAUGCAGUUAUGAGAGAGUACUUUUGCACAUAUAACACACUGUGGCUGGGGGUUUUCUUUACUACCAGCGUAUGUAAAGCCCAAAGAAAUAUAUUUCUCAUCAUAUUUGCGCCCCUUUGAUGGUUUUUCUGCGAAUUGCUGGUGAAGAAGAGGUGGCGUUUCGACUUCGGAUACAUCGCUGUCUAUAUCAGCGUGAACUGGCCUAAUUGCAGUGAGUACACUUACGCUCGCUAUGGACGCGCUAUUAGAGGGACCUGGGCCACUGCUGUCAGAGGACUGUGGAUCAGCGGCGCUGGAAGUAGAAGUGCUUACUGUGGUUGCGGGCCGAUAUCUUUGUAUUUCUCCAUUUUAAUGUUACGAGCUAUUACUUUACUUCAUCACAUAGCUGUGUGCUGGCGAUAAAUGACAUGCGGUAAGAUUCGCACUGAUGCAUGACUGUGAGUGGAUGCAGUUUUGACGACGAAAGACAGGAUAAUUUGUUUGGAUGUCAUGUAUUUGACCUUCAGAACAUUGCAAUUUUGCUGUUUGUACACUGGAGGGGGCACAAGUUUAUUUUUUGGCCGUGGGAAAAACAUGAAUUAGAAUUUUAAUGUUAUUUAAUCAGGCGGAAUUAAAUGAACAGCAAAUCUAAGCAUUUUGCUUCCGUACCCCCUCCGUCACGUCAUGUACCCCCAGGGGUACCCCAGUUUGGGAACCACUGGUCUAAUGCUUGUUUGACUAUGAUUGUGAUAUAAGUUUUGGAUCACCAAGUGUCAAGUAAAAAAAAAAACUAGAAGUGCUAAUGACCUUUUUCCAGAAGUAAUCAAACUCAAAAACACAAUUGAAAGUAAAAGACUAGAACACGUUGGAUGAGAGAAGCAAAAAUCCAGUUUAGUGUUCAAAAAGCAGCAUGAGAUCCAAACAGUGAGACGUCCCAAAGUGAUCUGAAUCUGUACACAGACUUACUGCCCUAUUUAUACAGUUGGACUCUAGUCUAUGCCCAAUUAUCUCAUUCUUUUGAAAUCCCUAUAUGUUUCAAUGGUCUUUUUGAUUUCCCCUUAAACUCUACUUUUCUCAUUUUGAAAUCCCAUUAGAAUCAGCUAUGCUCACUUUGAAAUCCCCUUAAAACCUAUUUUCGGCCUUUUGAUAUCCCCUGUGACGACAGGCCGGCGGCCAGCGCACAAAAGAAGAAAAGCGCUCCUCCCGCAACUGAAAGGGAAACUGAUGCUGAAAGGACAGCUCUGCUUCAGCACCACUAAUGUUUUGGACAGCCGAAGAUACAACAGAAAAGGAUUUUGAUCCC
This is a long non-coding RNA of Ictalurus punctatus (channel catfish), 2028 nucleotides long. Lineage: Eukaryota; Metazoa; Chordata; Actinopteri; Siluriformes; Ictaluridae. The record is from Ensembl.